GCUCGUUGAGGUAGUAGGUUGUAUAGUUGCGAGCUGCAUCCUUUCGAGAAACUGUCCAGCCUGCUAGCUUGCCGCGC
Non-coding RNA from Ascaris suum (pig roundworm), 77 nucleotides. The record is from Rfam. Lineage: Eukaryota; Metazoa; Nematoda; Chromadorea; Rhabditida; Ascarididae.